UGGGUGGGUGAACAGACGAAUGGAGAUGGAUGAGUGGACAAUACAGACUAAUAGAUUAGAUAGAUAGGCAACUGAUGGGAUGAAUAGAUAGUCUAAACAGAUAGAUUGAUGAAUAUAGAUAUACUGAUGCAUAGAUAAAUAGAUAAUAAUCAAUGGAUGGAUAAGUAAAUAGAUAGAUUUAUAGGUAGAAAAGAGAUUUAUAGGCAGAAAGAAGAUUUAUAGGUAGAAAAGAUAGGUAGAAAAGAGAUUUAUAGGUAGUAAAGAAAUUUAUAGGUAAAAAAGAAAUUUAUAGGUAGAAAAGAGAAUGAAUAGAAGGAUUAAAAUAUAGAGAUAGCGAGGACAUGUAAAUAAAUAGACUGGAUAAAUAGAUCCUUUCUGGCAGUAAUGAGCAUCAUACCAAGAGCUGCUCUCAAAGAUUGAGAUUGUCUUCAAGCAACCUAUAAGCCAUUGCUGAAGCAGAUUAUGGAGGAGAUAGUGAACCCAGAGCCACCAGAUUCUGGCGAUAUUGAACACGUGUCUUCGGGCCUCAGCGACCUACUUAAAACGGGAUUUAGCAUGUUCAUGAAGGUUAUUGUGCCAUCCUUGGGACUCCUGAACCCACUCAACAUUCCGGAGCUGUUAUUGGCAACGGAUCGACUUCAUCCAGACAUUGGCAUCUGAGCCAGAACCAUCUCCUAGAUGAUGAUAAGACUUAGCCGGUCUGGAAAGACCUGCUCUAUUGUCUGUCAUGCGUUGAGAUACAUUUCCAAAACUGAGCCUACCCUGGUACUACUAGUAGGAAGAAUUGAAUCUUGCCCUGAAGGCCUUCGAUAAUGGGGAGGGGGGGAGGGGGGGAAUGUUCUGUUGCUAAGACUGUUGCAACGUUAUGUUGCCAAGAUUAUUGAAAUGUUAUAUUAUUGAGAUUGUUACUGGUUUUAAAAUUUUUUCUUUUUCUGUUUCUGAAGUUGAGAUGUUAUAUUGAAAUUGUUACUGAUUUUAAAAAAAAAUUCUUUUUCUGUUUCUAAAGCUUAAAGAUGUUAUAUUGUUUGAGAUUGUUACUGGUUUAAAAUAAAAAUUCUUUUUCUGUUUCUAAA
This is a long non-coding RNA of Antechinus flavipes (yellow-footed antechinus), 1073 nucleotides long. RefSeq lists it as uncharacterized. The record is from RefSeq and is a predicted model, not a curated record. Lineage: Eukaryota; Metazoa; Chordata; Mammalia; Dasyuromorphia; Dasyuridae. The transcript is spliced from 3 exons.